This is a long non-coding RNA of Loxodonta africana (African savanna elephant), 1569 nucleotides long. RefSeq lists it as uncharacterized. Lineage: Eukaryota; Metazoa; Chordata; Mammalia; Proboscidea; Elephantidae. The transcript has 3 exons. The record is from RefSeq and is a predicted model, not a curated record.
CUUGGCCCAGUUGCCAUAUUCAGAAAAUGUAAGCAGUCACAGUUAUUGGGUGCCACCAAAUGCAUCCCAGUGUCUUGUCCCCACAGUUUCUUCUGCAAUCAUGUCUUUUGUGCAGCUCAGCAGAUGAGUUAUGGAGGAAACAGAGUGUCAGUAUGCCAGGGCUGGUGGGGUCAACCGUCCUGUUUUUAAUCACAAUGGGAAAAGCCCCCGCUUUUCAACUGCAUUGCUAAUAGACUAUUUCCUUUCAGUGUUCUUAUUCUCUGUCAAAAGUGACUCUCUACAGUGGUGCUUACUUUGGGAAAAUUCACUGAGCUGUACCCUGGUGAUCUGUGCAUUUUCGAGCACCUUGGCCCUAAGUCUAAACAGAUGGCUGUGCUCGCCUGCAAAGGAGGGUCUCUGACCAGAGUUGUCGACAAUGGACACGUGUCAAACACAACGAAAUAAUAAAGUAAGAUAAAAUAAAAACUUUAAACCAAUAUUCUUUAAAAAGGUAGGUGGGGGAUGUUUCAAGGGUGGGCUUUAGAGUAAACCAGGUCUGGAGUUGGCUAACUGAUACUUGCUAACUGUGUCGUCUUUGCUGAGAUACUUCAUUUCUUUGCGCCUCAGUUUUCUGAUUUGCACAAUGGGAACAAGGUUAUUGUGAGGAAGGUAUUCCAUUUCUCACUUAAGGUCACCACAUGAAGGUUUCUCACUCUGUAACCCUGGUCCCCCUACUGAGCCCACUCCCUCCUCUGAUCUCUUAAAACCAAUCUUUUCGUACCACCCCGUCUUAAUAGCUCCUUAGCAACUAGAUACACACUUCCUGUGUGAGGACGAUGUCUUACUCUCAAAGGUCCUAUGCUUUCUGGAAUUAGCUUAAUAUUCUGUGUUAUUCUCCGCUUAGAUCUACUCAGAGUCCGGUCCCUGAAGAAAUGCAUACGCUCAUGUGUACACGUAAGUGCAUUUAGGAAUCCUUGCGUAUAUUCCUCACAAUGUCUGACACAUCGGGGUGGACCUAGUGUGAUAAUAGAUUUCUGUAAAUAUUGAGUGACCACAUGACUUUUGGAAGAAAAGCGCUGGACUUUUAGGAGGGAAAAUCUGCAUUAUAAUGAAAAGGCUGAACACAUUUGGGAAACAUUUAGAUUUUGGUAACAGGUUAGGCAAGUGAUCAAUGUUACGAAAGUUCUUGAGCAGGACCAUGGGCAAGCCUGAACACAGCCGCUUCUGGGGAUGUUAUCUGGAUAACCAGGACUGGGAGCCACACCCCGCAGCGCCUCACUUGCAGGCAUUGAGAAGCCUUUACUGCCCUCAAGUGGCCUCUUUUGGCACUGCCUUUGAGAGGAUCCGCCCCUGAGUUAAACUUUGGAUUACUGGCUGGGAAGGUCUCAGGCGGUCAUCUUGGUCACCUAUACUCACGCCCCAAGCAACCGGGAAGCCAAUCGUAGAACUUGUUUUUCAAGCUUUUGCGGCCAUUCCAUCUCUAAAUUCCCGCGUUGUUUUAACAAGGGCCACUGUAGGGUUUUUUCUCCCUUGUGUCUUUCUAAUCCUUAGAGCAGCAGCUGUAGGCAGCCUGCGCAUCCUGGUCCGUGA